CGCGUAGGCGGCUCGGUAAGUUUGGAGUGAAAGUCCUGGCUUUAAGUUGGGAAUUGCUUUGAAAACUGUCGGGCUUGAGUGCAGGAGAGGUUAGUGGAAUUCCCAGUGUAGCGGUGAAAUGUGUAGAGAUUGGGAGGAACACCAGUGGCGAAGGCGACUAACUGGACUGUAACUGACGCUGAGGCGCGAAAGUGUGGGGAGCAAACA
RNAcentral lists this ribosomal RNA (207 nucleotides) under uncultured bacterium. Its description in RNAcentral is "partial 16S ribosomal RNA". It matches the Rfam family "Bacterial small subunit ribosomal RNA", at positions 568 to 774 of the family's 1533-position model. The record is from RNAcentral.